Molecule: ribosomal RNA, 500 nt
Filed under: uncultured Glomeromycotina
Lineage: Eukaryota; Fungi; Glomeromycota
Description: partial small subunit ribosomal RNA
Rfam family: Eukaryotic small subunit ribosomal RNA
Source: RNAcentral
CCAAUAGCGUAUAUUAAAGUUGUUGCAGUUAAAAAGCUCGUAGUUGAAUUUCGGGGUCAGUAGAUUGGUCGUGCCACUGGUAUGUACUGGUCUUACUGGCUCCUCCUUCCUGAUGAACCGUAAUGCCAUUAAUUUGGUGUUGCGGGGAGACUGGACUGUUACUUUGAAAAAAUUAGAGUGUUUAAAGCAGGCUAACGCUUGAAUACAUUAGCAUGGAAUAAUGAAAUAGGACGUUCGAUCUUAUUUUGUUGGUUUCUAAGAUUGACGUAAUGAUUAAUAGGGAUAGUUGGGUGCAUUAGUAUUCAAUUGUCAGAGGUGAAAUUCUUGGAUUUAUUGAAGACUAACUACUGCGAAAGCAUUUGCCAAGGAUGUUUGCAUUAAGCAAGAACGAAAGUUAGGGGAUCGAAGACGAUCAGAUACCGUCGUAGUCUUAACCAUAAACUAUGCCGACUAGGGAUCGGAUGAUGUUAAUUUUUUAAUGACUCAUUCGGCGCCUUACG